Molecule: ribosomal RNA, 325 nt
Filed under: uncultured eukaryote
Lineage: Eukaryota
Description: partial 18S ribosomal RNA
Rfam family: Eukaryotic small subunit ribosomal RNA
Source: RNAcentral
CCCUUAGAUGUUCUGGGCCGCACGCGCGCUACACUGAUGCAUUCAACGUGCCUAUCCUUGACCGACAGGUCCGGGUAAUCUUUGAAUCUGCAUCGUGACGGGGAUAGAUUAUUGCAAUUAUUAAUCUUCAACGAGGAAUGCCUAGUAGGCGCAAGUCAUCAGCUUGCGUCGAUUACGUCCCUGCCCUUUGUACACACCGCCCGUCGCUCCUACCGAUUGGGUGUGCUGGUGAAAUGUUCGGAUCGGCCGUUUGUCGCGGUUUCCGCGGCUCGUGGCUGAGAAGUUCAUUAAACCCUCCCACCUAGAGGAAGGAGAAGUCGUAACA